Molecule: long non-coding RNA, 841 nt
Organism: Aethina tumida (small hive beetle)
Lineage: Eukaryota; Metazoa; Arthropoda; Insecta; Coleoptera; Nitidulidae
Exons: 3
Source: RefSeq, a predicted model, not a curated record
CUCUUCGAUGUCAUAUGGGUGGCGUGUUCAUCAGGAGAGACAUAAAAUGUCGUUUUGAGUUGUUUGAUUAUUCGUUGCUCACUUAUUCAUAAUAAACCAUGUAUAUAAACUAUAAUAGUGCUUUGAAUGCAUUGGCACAAGAAACCAAGAAGCUUCUUCACUAAGUUGUAAAUUUCUUAGAAUAAAUAAAACAUUGAACUGGCAUGAUAUUUUACGAAGAAAAGGAAACGAAAUGAAUCAAAAAUGUAACUAAUGGAGGUUUGUUUCAUAUUUACUCUAAACUAAGUUUGCAUAUUAUCAUAUCAAUUGAGUGUUUUUAAAAGUGCAAUUACAUUAUAUUUGUUCAGGUUUAUAAGUCAAUGUUUGUUGGAAUUAUUUCCUGAUGUUUCAUUAGCAAAAGUGACUAUCAUCUUCAGAGGUCUGGUUUGAUUUGUAUCUCUUUGAUAUCUGAUUGACAACUUAGACUUUUUGUUAACACAUAAUUCUAAGAUACACAACUGCUUGCGUCAACAAUUGUAUAUCAUAACAGAAUGAUUAAGGAAACAAUUGAAAUUCAUAAACACAAAAACAACUUCAAUGGAAAAGAAGAAACAUUGAAACUUGAUAAAAUAUGGACACCAGUGUUUGGAAAGACUAAAAUUGCUAAGCAGACGAGAAUGGUAAAUAAUCAGAAUGAAAUUUCUUGAACAACAAAAUUCUUCACUUACAAUGAGCAUUUAAUGAAGAAACUAAAAUUCUUUCCACCAAAUUGUAAGUUCCUUAGGACAGAUGAGAUUAAACUGGCAUGAAAUUUUAUGAAGAAAGAAAACGAAACGAAUUAGAAACGUAAAUAUAAAAGGUU